This 497-nucleotide ribosomal RNA is filed under the name uncultured bacterium. RNAcentral's name for it is "partial 16S ribosomal RNA". It matches the Rfam family "Bacterial small subunit ribosomal RNA", at positions 28 to 507 of the family's 1533-position model. The record is from RNAcentral.
GAUGAACGCUGGCGGCGUGCCUAAUACAUGCCAGUCGAGCGAACGGACGAGAAGCUUGCUUCUCUGAUGUUAGCGGCGGACGGGUGAGUAACACGAGGAUAACCUACCUAUAAGACUGGGAUAACUUCGGGAAACCGGAGCUAAUACCGGAUAAUAUUUUGAACCGCAUGGUUCAAAAGUGAAAGACGGUCUUGCUGUCACUUAUAGAUGGAUCCGCGCUGCAUUAGCUAGUUGGUAAGGUAACGGCUUACCAAGGCAACGAUGCAUAGCCGACCUGAGAGGGUGAUCGGCCACACUGGAACUGAGACACGGUCCAGACUCCUACGGGAGGCAGCAGUAGAGAAUCUUCCGCAAUGGGCGAAAGCCUGACGGAGCAACGCCGCGUGAGUGAUGAAGGUCUUCGGAUCGUAAAACUCUGUUAUUAGGGAAGAACAUAUGUGUAAGUAACUGUGCACAUCUUGACGGUACCUAAUCAGAAAGCCACGGCUAACUACGUG